Molecule: long non-coding RNA, 1562 nt
Organism: Prunus dulcis (almond)
Lineage: Eukaryota; Viridiplantae; Streptophyta; Magnoliopsida; Rosales; Rosaceae
Exons: 4
Source: RefSeq, a predicted model, not a curated record
CAGGAACCAAUGUGACAGAUCCCGAGUCCCUGCAUUUAUAAUCUAUGCAUUUUCUUGUAUUUCGCUUAACACAGAAGCCAUAGCCAAAACCAGGCAGGCGACCACCACCUCCUAGUCAAAGUAUUUGCACAACUACCAUUACCUUAUAGACGAAAAAGGAAGAAACAGAGUAUAAAUAUUUAUAAUAUGGAAGGUAUUGUAGUAAGAAGGGCUAUUCCCUCAGACAAUAGUUGCCUCUUCAAUGCGGUUGGGUAUGCUAUCGACCAUGACAAGAAAAAAAGCUCCUGAGUUGAGACAGGUAUAUGGACAUUCAGGGAUUAUAAGUACACCAGUCAUUUAAGGUUAUAGCAGCAACAGUAGCAAGUGAUCCAACUAAGUAUUCUGAAGCAUUUCUAGGUAAACCAAAUGAAGAGUAUUGUUCUUGGAUUCUUGACUCUGAGAAGUGGGGAGGUUUGUUAAAAAUAAAUAAACUUUCCUUUUCCUACGUAUAUGAAUAUUGGUUAUGAAACAAAAUGCACAAUGAAAAGCUUUUCUUGUGAAAGUUUUGGUUAUUUCUGAUAGCCAACUAAGUAUCCGAACCUUAAUUAUACAAUACUGACUUAUGUCUUCUUUGACAGUAUUGCACAUUGUUGAUAUAUUUGACAAAGUUUCUGCGCCUUGACUGUUCAAGAAAUAGUGUGUGUAGCCACUUGUCUAUAAGAUUGACUGUUCAAGAAAUAGCAUUAGUAGUGAGUUCUCAUGUAUAUUAAUCUUGUCAGUUCCAUUUCGGAAUGUUUAUGCUCAUUUUCGUAUGGGGUACUUUUGACAAGAGAAGUAUUCCGAAAGGGCUCUGCUGAUCCAAGAUGGGCUUCAUUACGAUGCUUUAGCUGUAUGUGGUUCUGAUGAUUUAUGUUAAUUUUCUGUUUAUGAAUUUUACUGGUUAUCAGUGUGGACGGAUAAGUAAGAAGUGGCUUCACUAUGGCCUCAAGUAGGGCCAAUUUUUUGGAAAUAUGUGGUUUCCUUGUUUUACCAAAAUGCCCUUAAAUAAAUCCCAAUUUUCAACACCCAACCAAGUUCUCCUAUGUUUUUUGAGUUUUUAACGCCAAACAUGUAAGCACAUAGGACUCAAAUCGCCUGAGAGCCACACCUCUGUAUCUCCCUAACAAAUCUAAUGUUAAUCUCUUUCACAACAACACAGACUGCUCAAUGGCUAUUGAAUCUUCCCUUUUUCCCAUGCUCUCUUUACCUAUGUGCUGAGAGACUUUGCCUCGUAGGUCUUGGCUUUUGCUCUUUUCGAGUUGUACUUUUUCAUGAUUUAUAAUUGAUGUGAAUUAAUUUUCAAUAUAUGUUAAAACAAAGAUAGUUACUGAUAUUUAAGCUAUUUUAUUUCUGGACAUUUGCUCUCCUCUGUUUCUAAUUAAGGUUAAAUUUUCCCAGUUAAUGGUCAUUGGUUUCUGCAUCAUAUUGUCUCAGAUGUCACCCCUUGAGGGAGCUCCAGAGGAGUUUGAUCAGACUAUAUUUGCAGUUAAGGACAGUACCAUUGGGCCAGUUGAGGGGCUCGCUCUUAAUCUUGUGAAAGAAGA